CCUACGGGUGGCAGCAGUGAGGAAUAUUGGUCAAUGGGCGGGAGCCUGAACCAGCCAAGUCGCGUGAGGGAAGAAGGUCCUCUGGAUUGUAAACCUCUUUAGGCGGGGAGCAAUGCCGGGCACGCGUGCACGGAGGGAGAGUACCCGCAGAAUAAGCAUCGGCUAACUCCGUGCCAGCAGCCGCGGUAAUACGGAGGAUGCGAGCGUUAUCCGGAUUUAUGGGGUUUAAAGGGUGCGUAGGCGGAUUUUUAAGUCAGCGGUAAAAUGUCCGGGCUCAACCCGGGCCGGCCGUUGAAACUGGGGAUCUUGAGUGGGCGAGAAGUAAGCGGAAUGCGUGGUGUAGCGGUGAAAUGCAUAGAGAUCACGAAGAACUCCGAUUGCGAAGGCAGCAUACCGGCGCCCGACUGACGCUGAGGCACGAAAGCGUGGGGAGCGAACAGGAUUAGAUACCCGGGUAGUC
RNAcentral lists this ribosomal RNA (460 nucleotides) under uncultured bacterium. RNAcentral's name for it is "partial 16S ribosomal RNA". It matches the Rfam family "Bacterial small subunit ribosomal RNA", at positions 338 to 795 of the family's 1533-position model. The record is from RNAcentral.